Molecule: ribosomal RNA, 529 nt
Filed under: uncultured bacterium
Lineage: Bacteria
Description: bacterial SSU rRNA
Rfam family: Bacterial small subunit ribosomal RNA
Source: RNAcentral
UGGGGAAUAUUGCACAAUGGGCGAAAGCCUGAUGCAGCGACGCCGCGUGAGGGAUGACGGCCUUCGGGUUGUAAACCUCUUUCGACAGGGACGAAGCGUAAGUGACGGUACCUGUAGAAGAAGCACCGGCCAACUACGUGCCAGCAGCCGCGGUAAUACGUAGGGUGCGAGCGUUGUCCGGAAUUACUGGGCGUAAAGAGCUUGUAGGCGGUUUGUCGCGUCGUCUGUGAAAACUCACAGCUCAACUGUGAGCUUGCAGGCGAUACGGGCAGACUUGAGUACUGCAGGGGAGACUGGAAUUCCUGGUGUAGCGGUGAAAUGCGCAGAUAUCAGGAGGAACACCGGUGGCGAAGGCGGGUCUCUGGGCAGUAACUGACGCUGAGAAGCGAAAGCGUGGGUAGCGAACAGGAUUAGAUACCCUGGUAGUCCACGCCGUAACGGUGGGUACUAGGUGUGGGUUUCCUUCCACGGGAUCCGUGCCGUAGCUAACGCAUUAAGUACCCCGCCUGGGGAGUACGGCCGCAAGGCU